Molecule: ribosomal RNA, 2894 nt
Filed under: Enterobacter hormaechei YT3
Lineage: Bacteria; Pseudomonadati; Pseudomonadota; Gammaproteobacteria; Enterobacterales; Enterobacteriaceae
Description: bacterial LSU rRNA
Rfam family: Bacterial large subunit ribosomal RNA
Source: RNAcentral
ACUAAGCGUACACGGUGGAUGCCCUGGCAGUCAGAGGCGAUGAAGGACGUGCUAAUCUGCGAAAAGCGCCGGCGAGGUGAUAUGAACCCUUGACCCGGCGAUGUCCGAAUGGGGAAACCCAGUGCAAUUCGUUGCACUAUCGUUAACUGAAUACAUAGGUUAACGAGGCGAACCGGGGGAACUGAAACAUCUAAGUACCCCGAGGAAAAGAAAUCAACCGAGAUUCCCCCAGUAGCGGCGAGCGAACGGGGAGCAGCCCGGAGUCUGAAUCAGCUUGUGUGUUAGUGGAACGGUCUGGAAAGUCCGACGGUACAGGGUGAUAGUCCCGUACACGAAAGCACACAUGCUGUGAACUCGAAGAGUAGGGCGGGACACGUGGUAUCCUGUCUGAAUAUGGGGGGACCAUCCUCCAAGGCUAAAUACUCCUGACUGACCGAUAGUGAACCAGUACCGUGAGGGAAAGGCGAAAAGAACCCCGGCGAGGGGAGUGAAAAAGAACCUGAAACCGUGUACGUACAAGCAGUGGGAGCCUCUUUAUGGGGUGACUGCGUACCUUUUGUAUAAUGGGUCAGCGACUUAUAUUCUGUAGCAAGGUUAACCGUAUAGGGGAGCCGAAGGGAAACCGAGUCUUAACUGGGCGUUAAGUUGCAGGGUAUAGACCCGAAACCCGGUGAUCUAGCCAUGGGCAGGUUGAAGGUUGGGUAACACUAACUGGAGGACCGAACCGACUAAUGUUGAAAAAUUAGCGGAUGACCUGUGGCUGGGGGUGAAAGGCCAAUCAAACCGGGAGAUAGCUGGUUCUCCCCGAAAGCUAUUUAGGUAGCGCCUCGUGAACUCAUCUUCGGGGGUAGAGCACUGUUUCGGCUAGGGGGCCAUCCCGGCUUACCAACCCGAUGCAAACUACGAAUACCGAAGAAUGUUAUCACGGGAGACACACGGCGGGUGCUAACGUCCGUCGUGAAGAGGGAAACAACCCAGACCGCCAGCUAAGGUCCCAAAGUCAUGGUUAAGUGGGAAACGAUGUGGGAAGGCACAGACAGCCAGGAUGUUGGCUUAGAAGCAGCCAUCAUUUAAAGAAAGCGUAAUAGCUCACUGGUCGAGUCGGCCUGCGCGGAAGAUGUAACGGGGCUAAACCAUGCACCGAAGCUGCGGCAGCGACACUAUGUGUUGUUGGGUAGGGGAGCGUUCUGUAAGCCGUUGAAGGUGUGCUGUGAGGCAUGCUGGAGGUAUCAGAAGUGCGAAUGCUGACAUAAGUAACGAUAAAGCGGGUGAAAAGCCCGCUCGCCGGAAGACCAAGGGUUCCUGUCCAACGUUAAUCGGGGCAGGGUGAGUCGACCCCUAAGGCGAGGCCGAAAGGCGUAGUCGAUGGGAAACAGGUUAAUAUUCCUGUACUUGGUGUUACUGCGAAGGGGGGACGGAGAAGGCUAUGUCAGCCGGGCGACGGUUGUCCCGGUUUAAGCAUGUAGGCGGAGGUUCCAGGUAAAUCCGGUACCUUUUUAACGCUGAGGUGUGAUGACGAGGCACUACGGUGCUGAAGUGAUAAAUGCCCUGCUUCCAGGAAAAGCCUCUAAGCAUCAGGUAACACGAAAUCGUACCCCAAACCGACACAGGUGGUCAGGUAGAGAAUACCAAGGCGCUUGAGAGAACUCGGGUGAAGGAACUAGGCAAAAUGGUGCCGUAACUUCGGGAGAAGGCACGCUGAUGUGUAGGUGAAGCCCCUGCGGGCGGAGCUGAAAUCAGUCGAAGAUACCAGCUGGCUGCAACUGUUUAUUAAAAACACAGCACUGUGCAAACACGAAAGUGGACGUAUACGGUGUGACGCCUGCCCGGUGCCGGAAGGUUAAUUGAUGGGGUUAGCGGCAACGCGAAGCUCUUGAUCGAAGCCCCGGUAAACGGCGGCCGUAACUAUAACGGUCCUAAGGUAGCGAAAUUCCUUGUCGGGUAAGUUCCGACCUGCACGAAUGGCGUAAUGAUGGCCAGGCUGUCUCCACCCGAGACUCAGUGAAAUUGAACUCGCUGUGAAGAUGCAGUGUACCCGCGGCAAGACGGAAAGACCCCGUGAACCUUUACUAUAGCUUGACACUGAACACUGGUCCUUGAUGUGUAGGAUAGGUGGGAGGCUUUGAAGCGUGGACGCCAGUCUGCGUGGAGCCAACCUUGAAAUACCACCCUUUAAUGGCUGGUGUUCUAACGUAGACCCGUAAUCCGGGUUGCGGACAGUGUCUGGUGGGUAGUUUGACUGGGGCGGUCUCCUCCCAAAGAGUAACGGAGGAGCACGAAGGUUGGCUAAUCCUGGUCGGACAUCAGGAGGUUAGUGCAAUGGCAUAAGCCAGCUUGACUGCGAGCGUGACGGCGCGAGCAGGUGCGAAAGCAGGUCAUAGUGAUCCGGUGGUUCUGAAUGGAAGGGCCAUCGCUCAACGGAUAAAAGGUACUCCGGGGAUAACAGGCUGAUACCGCCCAAGAGUUCAUAUCGACGGCGGUGUUUGGCACCUCGAUGUCGGCUCAUCACAUCCUGGGGCUGAAGUAGGUCCCAAGGGUAUGGCUGUUCGCCAUUUAAAGUGGUACGCGAGCUGGGUUUAGAACGUCGUGAGACAGUUCGGUCCCUAUCUGCCGUGGGCGCUGGAGAAUUGAGGGGGGCUGCUCCUAGUACGAGAGGACCGGAGUGGACGCAUCACUGGUGUUCGGGUUGUCAUGCCAAUGGCACUGCCCGGUAGCUAAAUGCGGAAGAGAUAAGUGCUGAAAGCAUCUAAGCACGAAACUUGCCCCGAGAUGAGUUCUCCCUGAGACCUUGAGUCUCCUGAAGGAACGUUGAAGACGACGACGUUGAUAGGUCGGGUGUGUAAGCGCAGCGAUGCGUUGAGCUAACCGAUACUAAUGAACCGUGAGGCUUAACC